GUGAGGAAUAUUGCGCAAUGGAGGCAACUCUGACGCAGCCAUGCCGCGUGCAGGAAGAAGGCGCUACGCGUUGUAUACUGCUUUUAACCGGGAAGAAACCCCAGGACGUGUCCUGGGUUGACGGUACCGGAGGAAUAAGCACCGGCUAACUUCGUGCCAGCAGCCGCGGUAAUACGAAGGGUGCAAGCGUUAUCCGGAUUCAUUGGGUUUAAAGGGUGCGUAGGCGGAGCGUUAAGUCAGUGGUGAAAUCCUGCAGCUUAACUGUAGACUUGCCAUUGAUACUGGCGCUCUUGAGUGCGCUUGAAGUGGGCGGAAUGUGCCGUGUAGCGGUGAAAUGCUUAGAUAUGGCACAGAACACCAAUUGCGAAGGCAGCUCACUAAGGCGAUACUGACGCUGAGGCACGAAAGCGUGGGGAUCGAACAGGAUUAGAAACCCCGGUAGUCC
Molecule: ribosomal RNA, 445 nt
Filed under: uncultured bacterium
Lineage: Bacteria
Description: partial 16S ribosomal RNA
Rfam family: Bacterial small subunit ribosomal RNA
Source: RNAcentral